GUACGCAUAUUUAUAUGAGUGGCGGACGGGUGAGUAAUGCAUGGAAAUCUACCUUUCACUGGGGAAUAACCAUUAGAAAUAGUGGCUAAUACCGCAUACGCCAUAUUGGGAAAGCUUCGGCGGUGAAAGAUGAGUCCAUGUCUGAUUAGCUAGUUGGUAGGGUAAAGGCCUACCAAGGCGACGAUCAGUAGCUGGUUUGAGAGGAUGAUCAGCCACACUGGAACUGAGACACGGUCCAGACUCC
This 244-nucleotide ribosomal RNA is filed under the name uncultured bacterium. Its description in RNAcentral is "partial 16S ribosomal RNA". It matches the Rfam family "Bacterial small subunit ribosomal RNA", at positions 64 to 339 of the family's 1533-position model. The record is from RNAcentral.